Long non-coding RNA from Copidosoma floridanum, 379 nucleotides. Lineage: Eukaryota; Metazoa; Arthropoda; Insecta; Hymenoptera; Encyrtidae. The record is from RefSeq and is a predicted model, not a curated record.
ACGAGAGUACGUAUAUACAUAUAUACACAUCGGAGUCGAAGAGAAGAAGGAAGCCGUCCCUCGCGCGCCCAUCUAAAGUAUUUUUUCUCAUCGAAAUUUUCCAGGAAACAAAUUGCAGUUGCCCGCACACACUCUGCACGCGCCACUUCUCUUUCUCUCUCCCGCAUAUAAUUUCGAUAAACGCCGGACUACCAGAGGAAGAAGAAGAGUUGUCUCAACACCCCCCGACGUGGACGAAACGGUCGGACAACGAUUUUUCUCUCUCCGGAUUUAUCCAUGGUGUAUUAGCAUCCCUCUCGAGGACUGGAGAUUGAAAGGGAGCCAGGAAGACUUGGAGGGACGAGCGAGCGAGGGCUUCUCUUCCUUUUUUUUUUUUUUU